RNAcentral lists this transfer RNA (75 nucleotides) under Pantoea phage vB_PagS_AAS21. It matches the Rfam family "tRNA". From Rfam's summary of the family: Transfer RNA (tRNA) molecules are approximately 80 nucleotides in length. Their secondary structure includes four short double-helical elements and three loops (D, anti-codon, and T loops). Further hydrogen bonds mediate the characteristic L-shaped molecular structure. tRNAs have two regions of fundamental functional importance: the anti-codon, which is responsible for specific mRNA codon recognition, and the 3' end, to which the tRNAs corresponding amino acid is attached (by aminoacyl-tRNA synthetases). tRNAs cope with the degeneracy of the genetic code in two manners: having more than one tRNA (with a specific anti-codon) for a particular amino acid; and 'wobble' base-pairing, i.e. permitting non-standard base-pairing at the 3rd anti-codon position. The record is from Rfam by way of RNAcentral. Lineage: Duplodnaviria; Heunggongvirae; Uroviricota; Caudoviricetes; Demerecviridae.
CGGUGUGUAGCGCAGCUUGGUUAGCGCACGUGCUUUGGGAGCAUGGGGUCGUAGGUUCGAAUCCUACCACACCGA